CGAUUGAAAAUUUUGUGCAGAUUUGCUGGUAUGUUGUCGAGUGAAAGGAAACUUCAACUGGCGGGCAAGAGUAAUGAAAUCCGCAGAGAAGUUCCGAAGGCGAGAAUGAGGGCUUCGUAUCCCAAAUCUGGAAAGGGAAAUUUCGAGUAUCAAAAAUUUUCCAUCAGAUCAGAGAAUCGAGUUCAACGAUGAACAGUCAU
RNAcentral lists this long non-coding RNA (200 nucleotides) under Salvia miltiorrhiza (redroot sage). Its description in RNAcentral is "long non-coding RNA (SMIL_LNC013419)". The record is from RNAcentral. Lineage: Eukaryota; Viridiplantae; Streptophyta; Magnoliopsida; Lamiales; Lamiaceae.